CCCACGAGAUAGAACCAUCCGUACAACCGCACUGCUCCUCGAUCCCCAUCUCCAACUCGCCGGUGGCGGCGCCGCGACGCUGGCGACAGAAGCUGCGAGACCUCUUCGGAGGAGAGCGGCGAGCUGACCCUCUUAUGAAGUGGCCCAGGUGACCUCCCCUUCAUCUGACGGCGGCGCAUCGACCUCCACCUCAUCGGAAGCGAAUCAACAAACUCUUGGUCGUCAUUGGCGGCGUGGCGAGCUCGCCUCUACACAAGCAGCGCGGCGACGACCCCCUCCGUGUUCGGAAGCGGCGCGGCGAGCUCGCCCUCUUCGGCAGCUGGGGUCGACCUCCUCGUCCUCGGCGGCUCAACGCUAUUGGCCGGCGGGCUCCGUCUGCUGAUGCUGGUUGCCGUGCGCCUUGGCUACGCGGGUGGCGAGGCGCCGGUGGAAGGGACGCGGUGGGGAGAUCGCCCCGGUGGUCUACCGCGCCGGAUCUGGAGCUGUGGCCUUUCUGCGUCAAGAUCGACCCUGCCCAACCCUGGACUUGCUCUGCUGGGUUGCUGCAGUUGGAGGUGGAGCGCUGGACCGGGGGAAACCCUUGGCCGACGGGGCGGCCACGAAGUCGUCGACGCUAUUGGCGCCGAUCUCCUUCUUGAAGGCGAUUUCGAGGUGCGGCGCCCCCCGAUCCGGGGCGAGAAAACAGGGGUUUUCUUCGGAGGUGGAGCGUCUGGCAUUGUGCUUUCCUAUGGUGUUCGACGAUGGUACGAGUCCUAUGUGGCGUGCUCCCAGAAUCUCACUUCCUCUUCAGUCAGAUCGCAGCGCGGAACAAUGGCGUCGUAGAUCAAGCUUUGCUUCAAUGUCUUUUUCUUUUUAGUGCUUGUUCUUCGUCUCCUGUAAGCUGUCUUUCAGCAUUUUGUAAACUCUGGCCGUUGUGGGCUUUAUUAAUUUAAAGUCGGGCUCGUGGAGCCUUGAAUCUAAAAAAAAACGCUAUUGGUCGGCGAACAGCUGAGCUCGCUAUCUUCAGAAGCAGCAGUGUGACCUCCUCCUCUCCGGCAAAUGGUGGUCUCGCUGUGUAGAUUGCAAGAAGCAGCAUCUCGUGAGAUCACUUGUCAGAAGCAUCAGCUUUUGGUCUCAUUUGUGUGAAUUUGAACUAUCAAAUGUAUGAGAAAUUGCAAAUGCUGCAGCUUGUAGCUUUGUUCUGCUAAAAUAAAGUGACAUGAUGUAUGCUGUGAUCAUGAAUAAGAAACAUGUUUGAUUGGCAAA
Lolium perenne is the source of this 1245-nucleotide long non-coding RNA. RefSeq lists it as uncharacterized. NCBI's taxonomy places the organism in Eukaryota, Viridiplantae, Streptophyta, Magnoliopsida, Poales, Poaceae. The record is from RefSeq and is a predicted model, not a curated record.